This 254-nucleotide ribosomal RNA is filed under the name uncultured bacterium. Its description in RNAcentral is "partial 16S ribosomal RNA". It matches the Rfam family "Bacterial small subunit ribosomal RNA", at positions 524 to 776 of the family's 1533-position model. The record is from RNAcentral.
UACGAAGGGGGGCUAGCGUUGCUCGGAAUGACUGGGCGUAAAGGGCGCGUAGGCGGAUGGCACAGUCAGAUGUGAAAUUCCCGGGCUUAACCUGGGGGCUGCAUUUGAUACGUGUGAUCUAGAGUGAGGAAGAGGGUCGUGGAAUUCCCAGUGUAGAGGUGAAAUUCGUAGAUAUUGGGAAGAACACCGGUGGCGAAGGCGACUCGCUGGACAAGUAUUGACGCUGAGGUGCGAAAGCGUGGGGAGCAAACAGG